UGCUUGCACUAAAUGAAACUAGAUACAAGCGAGCGGCGGACGGGUGAGUAACACGUGGGUAACCUGCCCAAGAGACUGGGAUAACACCUGGAAACAGAUGCUAAUACCGGAUAACAACACUAGACGCAUGUCUAGAGUUUGAAAGAUGGUUCUGCUAUCACUCUUGGAUGGACCUGCGGUGCAUUAGCUAGUUGGUAAGGUAAUGGCUUACCAAGGCGAUGAUGCAUAGCCGAGUUGAGAGACUGAUCGGCCACAUUGGGACUGAGACACGGCCCAAACUCCUACGGGAGGCAGCAGUAGGGAAUCUUCCACAAUGGACGAAAGUCUGAUGGAGCAACGCCGCGUGAGUGAAGAAGGGUUUCGGCUCGUAAAGCUCUGUUGGUAGUGAAGAAAGAUAGAGGUAGUAACUGGCCUUUAUUUGACGGUAAUUACUUAGAAAGUCACGGCUAACUACGUGCCAGCAGCCGCGGUAAUACGUAGGUGGCAAGCGUUGUCCGGAUUUAUUGGGCGUAAAGCGAGUGCAGGCGGUUCAAUAAGUCUGAUGUGAAAGCCUUCGGCUCAACCGGAGAAUUGCAUCAGAAACUGUUGAACUUGAGUGCAGAAGAGGAGAGUGGAACUCCAUGUGUAGCGGUGGAAUGCGUAGAUAUAUGGAAGAACACCAGUGGCGAAGGCGGCUCUCUGGUCUGCAACUGACGCUGAGGCUC
Molecule: ribosomal RNA, 704 nt
Filed under: uncultured Bacilli bacterium
Lineage: Bacteria; Bacillati; Bacillota; Bacilli
Description: bacterial SSU rRNA
Rfam family: Bacterial small subunit ribosomal RNA
Source: RNAcentral